This 302-nucleotide long non-coding RNA is filed under the name Gallus gallus (chicken). The record is from RNAcentral. Lineage: Eukaryota; Metazoa; Chordata; Aves; Galliformes; Phasianidae.
CCAGCACGGUGAGGGUUGCAAUCUGGUGGUGGGUGUCGUCGGUGUAGAGCUGACAGAAGUACCCCCCCUCGUCGUCCAGCCGGGCGCGGUUCAGCACCAUGCGCAGCUGCCGCGGGGUGAACUCGGCCAGCUGGAACCGCUCGUCCUUCAGCGCGCGCGUGCCGUUGAAGAAGAGCGUUUGCCGCGCGGGGUUCUGGAUGACGACGAUGGAGCCGUCGUAGUGGUGCAGCCGGCAGGUGAUCUCGGCCGUGCCGCCCUCCAGCACCGUCACGUUCUCUGCCUGCACCUCCUGCGCCCGCCCU